UGGCCUCAAACUCAGAAAUGCCUCUGCCUC
Molecule: non-coding RNA, 30 nt
Filed under: Mus musculus (house mouse)
Lineage: Eukaryota; Metazoa; Chordata; Mammalia; Rodentia; Muridae
Source: RNAcentral